This 750-nucleotide ribosomal RNA is filed under the name uncultured bacterium. Its description in RNAcentral is "bacterial SSU rRNA". It matches the Rfam family "Bacterial small subunit ribosomal RNA", at positions 43 to 783 of the family's 1533-position model. The record is from RNAcentral.
CAGGCCUAACACAUGCAAGUCGAGCGGACUUAUCCUUCGGGAUAGGUUAGCGGCGGACGGGUGAGUAACACGUAGGCAACCUGCCUGUAAGAUCGGGAUAACUACCGGAAACGGUAGCUAAGACCGGAUAGCUGGUUUCUCCGCACGGGGGAAUCAUGAAACACGGGGCAACCUGUGGCUUACGGAUGGGCCUGCGGCGCAUUAGCUAGUUGGUGGGGUAACGGCCCACCAAGGCGACGAUGCGUAGCCGACCUGAGAGGGUGAUCGGCCACACUGGGACUGAGACACGGCCCAGACUCCUACGGGAGGCAGCAGUAGGGAAUCUUCCGCAAUGGGCGCAAGCCUGACGGAGCAACGCCGCGUGAGUGAUGAAGGUUUUCGGAUCGUAAAGCUCUGUUGCCAAGGAAGAACGCCUCGGAGAGUAACUGCUCUGAGGGUGACGGUACUUGAGAAGAAAGCCCCGGCUAACUACGUGCCAGCAGCCGCGGUAAUACGUAGGGGGCAAGCGUUGUCCGGAAUUAUUGGGCGUAAAGCGCGCGCAGGCGGUCUUUUAAGUUUGGUGUUUAAGCCCGGGGCUCAACCCCGGUUCGCACUGAAAACUGGGAGACUUGAGUGCAGGAGAGGAAAGCGGAAUUCCACGUGUAGCGGUGAAAUGCGUAGAGAUGUGGAGGAACACCAGUGGCGAAGGCGGCUUUCUGGACUGUAACUGACGCUGAGGCGCGGAAGCGUGGGGAGCAAACAGGAUUAGAU